This 429-nucleotide ribosomal RNA is filed under the name Gemmatimonadota bacterium. RNAcentral's name for it is "Gemmatimonadetes bacterium partial 16S ribosomal RNA". It matches the Rfam family "Bacterial small subunit ribosomal RNA", at positions 355 to 776 of the family's 1533-position model. The record is from RNAcentral. Lineage: Bacteria; Pseudomonadati; Gemmatimonadota.
UAGGGAAUCUUCGGCAAUGGACGAAAGUCUGACCGAGCAACGCCGCGUGAGUGAAGAAGGUUUUCGGAUCGUAAAACUCUGUUGUUAGAGAAGAACAAGGACGUUAGUAACUGAACGUCCCCUGACGGUAUCUAACCAGAAAGCCACGGCUAACUACGUGCCAGCAGCCGCGGUAAUACGUAGGUGGCAAGCGUUGUUCGGAUUUAUUGGGCGUAAAGCGAGCGCAGGCGGUUUCUUAAGUCUGAUGUGAAAGCCCCCGGCUCAACCGGGGAGGGUCAUUGGAAACUGGGAGACUUGAGUGCAGAAGAGGAGAGUGGAAUUCCAUGUGUAGCGGUGAAAUGCGUAGAUAUAUGGGGGAAAACCAGUGGCGAAGGCGGCUCUCUGGUCUGUAACUGACGCUGAGGCUCGAAAGCGUGGGGAGCAAACAGG